GUACGUCUGCCUUUCCCUCUGUGGGGUGCUGAGCAGUUCUCUCUUUAAUCAUAGCCUAUUAUCUGCAUUGUGCUACUGUCCAUCUUGCUUCUGCUCACCAGCCUCCACUAUAGAACUGCAGAACCACAGAACAUCCUGAGCUGGAAGGGAUGCACCAGGACCAUUGGGUCCAACUUCUGGCUCCAGACAGAACAUCCUCAAAUCCAGACCCAGUGUCUGGGAACAUUGUCCAAAGAGGCAGAGUUGGCCAAACAGAGCUGCCCAGCUGCGGUUCUGGUGCAGAAGGACACCUACUGGCUAGGGCAUGAAGCCACCUGUGGUGUUCUAGUCCUUAUGAAGUGCUGUAUGCCAGUGACAGAGCAUGUCUCAUGAUGCACAAGCAAUCCCAGGCACCAAGGAGUUGAGAUCUCCUGAAACCAACCUGCCCGAAGUUGUUUUACUGCCUCCUCCCUGUCCCUGUGGUAAAGGCCCACCUGAAAGAAAAGCCGGAAAGUCCAAUUCUGCUGAAACUUCUCUACUCAAGGUAUGAGAGUUCAGAGCACCAGUGUGGUCAGAUUAUUUAUCUCUAUCUAGCAAAUGUCACCAUUGUGCUUCUUCAUCUGAAUCAAACAGAUCACAGGGGCAGGCUGGAGUCCCUGUGCCCAGAUGUGAGUCCUAAUCAGUUAGCAUUCGGCAACGUGGGAUGCACUCUUUGCUUUAAUAAGAAAUAUGACAAGUCAUGGAAUC
Coturnix japonica (Japanese quail) is the source of this 726-nucleotide non-coding RNA. The record is from RefSeq and is a predicted model, not a curated record. Lineage: Eukaryota; Metazoa; Chordata; Aves; Galliformes; Phasianidae.